RNAcentral lists this ribosomal RNA (450 nucleotides) under uncultured bacterium. Its description in RNAcentral is "bacterial SSU rRNA". It matches the Rfam family "Bacterial small subunit ribosomal RNA", at positions 355 to 796 of the family's 1533-position model. The record is from RNAcentral.
UAGGGAAUUGUUCGCAAUGGGCGCAAGCCUGACGACGCAACGCCGCGUGGAGGAUGAAGACCUUCGGGUCGUAAACUCCUUUCGACCGAGAUGAACACUUGCCGACCUAAUACGUCGGCGAGCUGACAGUAUCGAGGGAAGCAGCCCCGGCUAACUCCGUGCCAGCAGCCGCGGUAAUACGGGGGGGGCAAGCGUUGUUCGGAAUUACUGGGCGUAAAGGGUUCGUAGGUGGCCGACUAAGUCAGACGUGAAAUCCCUCAGCUUAACUGGGGAACUGCGUCUGAGACUGGCCGGCUUGAGUGCAGGAGAGGAACGCGGAAUUCCAGGUGUAGCGGUGAAAUGCGUAGAUAUCUGGAGGAACACCGGUGGCGAAGGCGGCGUUCUGGACUGCAACUGACACUGAACAACGAAAGCCAGGGGAGCAAACGGGAUUAGAUACCCGGGUAGUCC